CAGGUCUUGCUGUCCUCAGUAGGAGUGAAACCCAUCUCACACUCGCAGCGGUAGCCUCCAGGAGUGUUCAGACACUGGCCGUUCUCACACAGGUUCACGUUAUCUGCACACUCGUCUGUGUCUGAGAGACAAAAGCAGACUGCUCUUGUUAGGGGUUGCCACAGAGGAUCAUUGGUCUGUGUAUUUGAUUUGGCACAGUUUUUAUGCCGGAUGCCCUUCCUGACACAACCCUCCCCAAUGUUACCAGCAUUGAGAGUGCACUGUUGCAUGCAACCCCAGUGGCUAGUGUUGGUUCCCUGGCCAGGAAUCGAACCCGGGCCGCAGCGGUGACAGCGCUCUGGCCUAACCACUAGUUGCGGAGGUGGUCAUUUCUGUUUCCUGUACCAGAGCAGGAGAAGCCAUCUCCAUUGAAACCCUCCUUGCAGGCGCAGCGGUAUGAGCCGGGAGUGUUGACACACUCAGCGUUGGGGUUACAGCUGUGGUCCUCUGUGGAGCA
Molecule: long non-coding RNA, 496 nt
Organism: Pangasianodon hypophthalmus (striped catfish)
Lineage: Eukaryota; Metazoa; Chordata; Actinopteri; Siluriformes; Pangasiidae
Exons: 3
Source: RefSeq, a predicted model, not a curated record